RNAcentral lists this long non-coding RNA (272 nucleotides) under Homo sapiens (human). RNAcentral's name for it is "HSALNT0116225". Lineage: Eukaryota; Metazoa; Chordata; Mammalia; Primates; Hominidae. The record is from RNAcentral.
UUUCCUGUACCCUAAUAAGAUGCAUCCUAUGUUAAGAGUUUGGAGAUUGGAUUGCUGCAGAGUUUCACCCUCUCACACAUUGCUUGCCUUGGAAUGUGAGUGUAAUCACAAUGGAAACAUCUAUGAGAUGAGAGCCUAUUAAAUGGACUCGGACACGUAGCAACACUUACUAGUUCGUAUAAUAAUGUACCUGUUCUUUGGAGGAACUCAAGAGGAUAUGUACAUUUGCCUAAAUAAAGGAGGCCAGCAGUAAGUUCCAUUUGCAAGGCAAA